This is a long non-coding RNA of Serinus canaria (Common canary), 792 nucleotides long. RefSeq lists it as uncharacterized. The record is from RefSeq and is a predicted model, not a curated record. NCBI's taxonomy places the organism in Eukaryota, Metazoa, Chordata, Aves, Passeriformes, Fringillidae. The transcript is spliced from 4 exons.
CACAACCUCAGGCAUUGGUGGAAAUUUCUCUUUUGAGGGGGUUCUGGCAGUCAUCUCUAUGUCAAGUUUUCAAACCGUACCCACAGGAAACUUAUUAAAGUAAAUGAAAAUUAGAAAGCCAUCAAGGGAAAAGUGCUGCUGUGGUUACUGGUAGACAAACAGCAAUAUGCCAUUUUCUGGCUUAAACCUUUGGCCUCCAGUCUGAGCAUGUGUUUGCAGCCUUGGGAUUCCUGUUGCCACUUGGAAAGAUUCUCAGGAUGGUGCCUGCCACAAAGACCUUGGGAACCACAGGAUAAUAUCAAAGUCUCCUGACCUGUUGGAUUGAGUCCAGAAGAGGGCCAAGAAGAGCUCAGAGGGCUGGAGCACCUCUCCUAUGAAGACAGGCUGAGAGAGUUGGUGUUGCUCAGCCUGGAGAAGUGAAGGCUUUGGGGAGCCCUUGGAGAACCUUCCACUACCCAAAGGGGUCCAGCUCAGUAGAGGGAGAGGGGCUUUUCACAAGGGCAUCAAGUGACAGGGCAAGAGGUUGUUCAGUAAGAUUUUUGAAAAGUAUGAACAAAGGCUUGCACAGCCUUCUGCAGACCAUGUCAAGCUUUAUUUCAUCCCUCACACAGAGGAGAAGCUCCUUGUGGAAAUGUCUCAGCUUCCUCUCCUGCAGCACCAGGGAGAUGUGGUAAGUUACAGAGCGAUGGAAACAGGGACACCCCUUUGGACUUCACCCCAAGAAAACCCUCCAAGAUUUUCUUGAAAUCAGCCUUAUAACCCUCAAAACCUGAAAUAAGGCAAAAAUAUUUC